This 479-nucleotide ribosomal RNA is filed under the name uncultured bacterium. Its description in RNAcentral is "bacterial SSU rRNA". It matches the Rfam family "Bacterial small subunit ribosomal RNA", at positions 31 to 507 of the family's 1533-position model. The record is from RNAcentral.
GAACGCUAGCGGCAGGCUUAAUACAUGCAAGUCGUGGGGCAGCAUGAGUAGCAAUACUUGAUGGCGACCGGCAAACGGGUGCGGAACACGUACACAACCUUCCUUCAAGCGGGGAAUAGCCCAGAGAAAUUUGGAUUAAUACCCCAUAAAUAUAAAAAUGGCAUCAUUUAUAUAUUAAAGCUUCGGCACUUGAUGAUGGGUGUGCGGCUGAUUAGAUAGUUGGCGAGGUAACGGCUCACCAAGUCUACGAUCAGUAGCUGAUGUGAGAGCAUGAUCAGCCACACGGGCACUGAGACACGGGUCCGACUCCUACGGGAGGCAGCAGUAAGGAAUAUUGGACAAUGGACGAAAGUCUGAUCCAGCCAUGCCGCGUGAAGGAUUAAGGUCCUCUGGAUUGUAAACUUCUUUUAUAUGGGACGAAAAAGAGAAUUCUUUCUCACUUGACGGUACCAUACGAAUCAGCACCGGCUAACUCCGUG